UGAGUUAGUGUAUAUUUGUAUUUCAUCUUCAAAAAUGCUGCUGGUCAGGACCCAAUAAAUUACUUCCAUCAUCUAUCAGUAGGAUACAACAGGCAGUCUGUAAGCCUUGUUCUACAUGAACAGUGAACACCAGGGGGCUUUUGGUUUAAAUACUCUUUUAGGGAAAUUUUCUUACUAGGCAAAAAGCAUUUAUUAUGAUAUAUUAAAAUUUUGGAUUCCCACACAUUAAUGAAAGCAAAUAAAUGAGUAAUCAAUUUACUUCAUAUGGGUUACUCAAUCCAGAAGUCCCAGAUUUUCCAAAGGAAAUAAAAUCUUAAAUCUCAGAUCUAUUUACUGGUCCUCAGAGAAUACUGCCACA
Molecule: long non-coding RNA, 358 nt
Organism: Phyllostomus discolor (pale spear-nosed bat)
Lineage: Eukaryota; Metazoa; Chordata; Mammalia; Chiroptera; Phyllostomidae
Exons: 2
Source: RefSeq, a predicted model, not a curated record